CCUACGGGUGGCAGCAGUGAGGAAUAUUGCACAAUGGGGGAAACCCUGAUGCAGCGACGCAGCGUGAAUGAAGAAGGACUUCGGUGUUUAAAGCUCUAUCAACAGGGAAGAAAAUGACUGUACCUGAGUAAGAAGCCCCGUCUAACUACGUGCCAGCUGCCGCGGUAAUACGUAGGGGGCAAGCGUUAUCCGGAUUUACUGGGUGUAAAGGGAGCGUAUACGGAAGUGCAAGUCUGGAGUGAAAGGCGGGGGCUCAACCCCAGGACUGCAGUGGAAACUGUAAGGCUGGAGUGCAAGAGAGGUGAGUGGAAUUCGUAGUGUAGCGGUGAAAUGCGUAGAUAUUAGGAGGAACACCAGUGGCGAAGGCGGCUCACUGGACUGUAACUGACACUGAGGCUCGAAAGCGUGGGGAGCAAACAGGAUUAGAUACCCCGGUAGUC
Molecule: ribosomal RNA, 440 nt
Filed under: uncultured bacterium
Lineage: Bacteria
Description: partial 16S ribosomal RNA
Rfam family: Bacterial small subunit ribosomal RNA
Source: RNAcentral